This 109-nucleotide ribosomal RNA is filed under the name human gut metagenome. The record is from RNAcentral.
GGUGUUAAUUGCGGUGAGGGUCCACCUGUUCCCAUUCCGAACACAGCAGUUAAGCUCACUAUCGCCGAAGAUACUUGGGUGGCGACGCCCCGGAAAAAUAGGAAGACGC